GCAUUCAAUCAGAUGGGGAAAAAAACCAAAACACUCAAAAAACAAUGCCUUGAACUGUAACUUGUUUGUUUGACUUUCACUGCACUGGAGCAUGGAAUUAAUUCAAAGUGGAAAGAACCUGGGAAGGCCCCAAAUAUUGGCUAACCGCUCAGGCCAAAGAAGCAAGGGGAGGAUACGGUAAUAAUUAAUGCAUAUUAACAAAGUAAGCACGUGAGCCAGGAACUCUUUAUCCUUAGGCAGCAACUCUACCAGCUUUUAUGCAUUUUGACGGCAGGGAGGGCCAUAUCCUCAUGCCUCUCAAUCUCAACCUCUUCAUGUGUCAAUGUCAAAAAUUAAAAUGCACGAAACUUGAAUCAAAACCUCCUGCAGAAUCUUCAGACCUGUAAUGGACUCAUAAACAAAACCAUCCCUGACAUCAGGAUGCAUAACAGCUGUGAAGUCCAAAGGAUGAAAACUUUGAUUUUGAAGCAUGCACAACUUCGCCUAAUUGCCUCUAAUCCUCAUCAGGAAUAGUUAGCAUUUAGAAAGAAGGAGAUCUUUCCAUCUCUUUGAGCUUCCAUCUGAGAUCUCCCCAGUCAUUUGAGCAGCCUGGCAGAGUCUUCUGCUAUUCACUGGUAACCCAAAUUCCUUCCCUUCACAAUUCAUAAACUAUAAUCUAAGGAACAUUUUGUAAUCUAGUGAUGUCACAUGAUCUCUAUUGCCACACUCCCUGCUAAAUACAUGCUCUAUGCUGGAUCCAUGCAGGAGCACUUUAUUUUAAAAGACAAUCCUUAGUUUCAGUUUCUCCAUUUUGGUUGCACUCACCAGCACAAACCAAUGCUAUGUGUUGUGGCAUGACACUGAUAUUCUUCACAGCGAUUCUUUUAUGCUUUUAUAGCAUGAUGAUAUCACAGUUCCUUCAUAUAUUUUGUUACUGUGGUAUAAUAUUAAAGCAGUCAUAUGGCCUUUCAUAUGCAACUUGCUUUUUUAACCUCCUGAGGAUUAAGCUGGCUGCGUUGUCUGUAGUGAGGUCUAGUGUUUAGAACAGGUGAUUCAGAGUUUGGAUACCUGGAUUCUGUUUUUUGCUCUUCCACAGACUUUCUAUGUGAACUUGAGCAAAACACUUAUCUUCUACAUCCCUCAGUUUAUCAAAAGGGUGAAGGGGAUUCAGCUGCACUUGCUUACCUCAUAGGGAUGUUAAGAGGCUUAAUUAAUUGUUUACAAAGCACAUUACACAGUGCUUCUAAACCAAAAAUCUCACAGCAAAGCAUCAGUCCUCCCGUGACACAAAUUACAGAGCAGCAGGGAGAUCUCCAAACUCCCUGCUAUAUACUAGAAAAAUAAAAUGCUGACCUGAAGGCACUUUUGAGGAAACAGGGAAAGUGAUUCAACUGUGGACAUUUAUGGUCUGAGCACCUGCAGCCCUUACUAAUUUCAGUGGGAGCAGUGAGGGGUAAGUGUCUCUGAAAGCCAAGCCAAUAAAGA
Molecule: long non-coding RNA, 1464 nt
Organism: Mauremys mutica (yellowpond turtle)
Lineage: Eukaryota; Metazoa; Chordata; Testudines; Geoemydidae
Exons: 5
Source: RefSeq, a predicted model, not a curated record